RNAcentral lists this long non-coding RNA (241 nucleotides) under Setaria italica (foxtail millet). Its description in RNAcentral is "long non-coding RNA (SITA_LNC004337)". Lineage: Eukaryota; Viridiplantae; Streptophyta; Magnoliopsida; Poales; Poaceae. The record is from RNAcentral.
ACGCUUGUAGGAAAAUGUGUGCGGCCGUAAAAAAAAAUGGUUUCCAGUAGUGAUGCCGAUUAUGUUGAUGUAAAGAGAGAGAAAACAAAAGGAAAGUUCAACGGAUGGGGUUUGGUGGCUUCUCAACGGGCCGCAUUGUGUGUAACUUGUUAUCAUCACUUUUGGUGGAUCAAGAGCUAGAUAGAUUAAUCGCACCUUGUACUGGUUCUGGCGCUGAAUUUGCAACUUUCAUGCACGUUUU